UACGAAGGGGGCUAGCGUUGUUCGGAAUUACUGGGCGCAAAGCGCACGUAGGCGGAUUUGUUAGUCAGGGGUGAAAUCCCGGGGCUCAACCUCGGAACUGCCUUUGAUACUGCAAGUCUCGAGUCCGGAAGAGGUGAGUGGAAUUCCUAGUGUAGAGGUGAAAUUCGUAGAUAUUAGGAAGAACACCAGUGGCUAAGGCGGCUCACUGGUCCGGUACUGACGCUGAGGUGCGAAAGCGUGGGGAGUAAACAGG
This 253-nucleotide ribosomal RNA is filed under the name uncultured bacterium. Its description in RNAcentral is "partial 16S ribosomal RNA". It matches the Rfam family "Bacterial small subunit ribosomal RNA", at positions 524 to 776 of the family's 1533-position model. The record is from RNAcentral.